UGCCACGCAGUGGGGCACAAAGCGAAUUAUUCUUUUACCUUUUACUAAAGAAUACUAUGUGCACGUUGCAAAUAGUGGCCUAGAAAAAAA
Molecule: small nuclear RNA, 90 nt
Filed under: Ipomoea nil (Japanese morning glory)
Lineage: Eukaryota; Viridiplantae; Streptophyta; Magnoliopsida; Solanales; Convolvulaceae
Description: U5 spliceosomal RNA
Rfam family: U5 spliceosomal RNA
About the family: U5 RNA is a component of both types of known spliceosome. The precise function of this molecule is unknown, though it is known that the 5' loop is required for splice site selection and p220 binding, and that both the 3' stem-loop and the Sm site are important for Sm protein binding and cap methylation.
Source: Rfam by way of RNAcentral